Molecule: RNA transcript, 4593 nt
Organism: Lotus japonicus
Lineage: Eukaryota; Viridiplantae; Streptophyta; Magnoliopsida; Fabales; Fabaceae
Exons: 23
Source: RefSeq, a predicted model, not a curated record
CAAAACCUCGCUGAGCAAAAGUAAGAACGACUUUACAACUCCUACUCCAUUUCUUGCAAAGCAUGAGUAUAUAGCAGCAUUGUCUUCGUUUUUUCCUAAUUGGGCCCGCUCAUACGCAAUCGCUUUCGUUUCGUACCUUUCUUUAACCUCUAUCGUGAAACCAACCACAACCAAAACCAUCGUGUGCAAGCUAGGCUCAUGGAAACGGCGCCGUCGUCGUCUACGAAUCCGCCACAGGAACCGCGGCAACCACUCGAAGACCGUGUAUUCAAAACCAAGACUGUUCAGUUUCUAGGUCGCCGCACACCGAUCGUCCUCCAAGAACACAAUGGCCCCUGCGGUCUCAUCGCUAUCUGUAAUGUUCUACUGCUAAGAAACGAGAUCCAUUUGAGUCUAGGUACUUCUGAAGUCUCCCAGAAGACAUUGCUCUCAUUAGUUGCUGGUCGAUUGAUUGACUCAAAUUCAAAUCGUGAUGAUGAUGUAAAUCAACAACAGAACCUUGCGGGUGCAUUUGAUGUGCUCAAUAAGCUUGCGACUGGCAUUGAUGUAAAUGUAAAGUUUAACAGAAUAGAUGAUUUUGAACGCACUCAAGAGUGUGCCAUAUUUGAUCUGCUGGGCAUUCCUUUGUAUCAUGGCUGGAUAGUUGACCCCAAGGAUUAUGAUACUGCUAAUGCAAUUGGAUCAAAGUCCUACAAUGAUCUUACUGUAGAGAUUGUUACAAAAAACAUUGAAAUCCAUUAUAAGAAUAAUCUGGAAGAAGAUUGUGUUGAUUAUGAUUCUACUAUGGAAGAAGAUUGUGUUGAUUCUGAUUCUACUAUGGAAGAAGAUUGUGUUGAUAUUGGUUCUUCUCAUUCUGUUUCUGACCAAUUGGGAAGAAGAGGUGAAGAGGCAGAGGUUUUGAGAGCCUUGAAACUGUCUGAGGCUUAUUUUAAAGCUUCAAUAAGUGAUCCUGUUGUAGGUCAUGUAAAUGGUGAUGGAGGAACAGUUUCUGUCAGUGUGGAUGAAGAUAUGUGUAACAAGCUGGUUAAAACUGUGGAUUCUGACCAAUUGCGAAGAAGAGGUGAUAUUGAAGAAGCGGCAGAGGUUUUGAGAGCCUUUAAACUGUCUGAGGCUUAUUUUAAAGCUUCAAUAAGUGAUCCUGUUGUAGGUCAUGUAAAUGGUGAUGGAGGAACAGUUUCUGUCAGUGUGGAUGAAGAUAUGGGUAACAAGCUGGUUAAAACUGUGGAUUCUGCAGAUAAGUUAGGAAAGAGCGCACGUGCUGAGAAUAAUGAUUUUCAUGAGUCAGGGUCGUCCAUAUCUGAUGAUUGCGCUGCUUCUGGUAAAGACUGUAAUGAACAUGCAUCUUCUGCAUCUACAGCUGCCCCCGAUCUAAAAGCUAAGGAUGGAAUAACACCAAAACAAGGGGAAUUGAUCACGAGUUUCUUGAUUAAAAAUGCCAGCCAGUUGACUUCUAUUGGACUUUCCUCUUUACAAGAUGGUCUUAAAGAGCAUGAGCUAUGUGUUUUUUUCCGAAACAAUCAUUUUAGUACUAUGUUUAAGUUUGAAGGUGAUCUUUAUCUUCUAGUUACUGAUCAAGGUUAUAUAAAUGAGCCUAAUCUUGUUUGGGAAAAACUGAAUGAGGUCAAUGGUGACUCAUGGUUUAUGACCAGUAGUUUCAAGGAAUUCAAGGUAGAAAGCCAUGAAAAUAACAACUGGGAUGAGAACAAUGCCAUUACCAGUACUGCUGACUAUCUUGCCAGCUUAGACGGUGCAAUACAGGAAAACUUAGAUAUCAAUGCUGCUCUGCAAUUUGAAAUAAACUUUCCACAACAGGAGUCUGAGAAGCAGCCUCCACGGCAUAAUUUUCAGCAACCUGUUAACGGUACCUCCAAACUGGUCACAGGUCUUCAGGUAAACAUGGACCUAGACGGCGUUGAUGAUCCUAUGGAUACGGCUGGAAACGGCGUCACACGAGAAAUCGAUGUCUUCUUCAAAAGUGCAGACCCGAACACAAAGUUGUAUGUUUUGCAGUAUCCUUUGAGGCCUUUUCAGAAGCCGUACGAGUUAGAUGAACGAUGCCAAAAGGUCAGGUUGAAUCUUGAUAGUUCAGAAGUGGAGUUUGAUUUGGAGGCACUUGAUAUUGAAAAGCAGACUUUAUACACCCUCUCGACGCCACCUCCUGAGAGUCGAUUUGCUGUUGGGAUUCUUAUUGGUGAUAAGCUACACCUGCAUCCUAUUCAUGCCAUUGUGCAGCUCCGACAUGUUGAGGGGUCACGUGUAGUAAAGUCUGCUGCCACAUCAAAGAAGAAGCAGAAGCAGCACUGGGUUCCUCUCAAGUAUCACGGCUGCAACAGUGAUAUCUCCUCUGGAUUUUUGCAGGAAAUGAUGGCUCAAUCAUCCGAAACUCCCAUAAACUUUACAAUGAGCGGGCAUGAUUACGUCACUGCACUCUGUGGUGGAGUAAUACCCAAGGGUACUGCCAAAAGGUUUCUUCUAUCAUUGCCAUUGGAGGAACGUCUUAAGAAAUUGCUUAUUCAGGGUCCCCCACUUCGUCGUUUCAAUACUAUCAAGCACUUUGCUCCUGAAUGGUCUGAUUUGGAACUGCUGGAACAUCUGCAGUCAACUGCAGUAUUGCUGUGGGGACAUUGGGCCCCAAGAAGUCAAUUACUAUUUGCUGAAUCUCCUUCUGGACAUUUGGCCAGGGAUUAUGUCAUAUCACUGUUUAGCGAUAAAUUGAAAGUUUUCUCAUCUGAUGUGAAUGUGGAUUUUGAGAGCGAACUUGGUAAGAAUGUGGGAAAAUUCUUGAAGAUAUUUGGUCUGGAAAGAUGUGAUCUUAACAAAACUACGUCUGAACCAUUGCCUUACUGGAUGUUCAAAGAGCUUCCUGAUUAUUCAUUUAUAGAAUCCCACUCAGAUGUUGUUCAAAUGCAACAAGUUAAGCUCAGGGAUUUGAAAGAUCACGUAUCUAGGAAAGUGGCAGACUACAUCCCUAAAUCUGCAAAUUCUGGUCCACAGGUAGCAAGUCUGGAUGGAGUUCCUCCUAGGAAUAUGACCAUGUCAAAAGAAACCCAAAGUGCUCUGCGAUUUGCUCUCGGGAUUGUUUUUAAGACUCGCAAAGUUUGCAGGUUUGAAUCUGUAUGCAACGAAUUGCGAAAAAUGGUGGAUUCCAAGGAUUCCAAUAUGCCCCACUCAUAUUAUAAGGUUGUGGAAGCAGCUGCCAGUCUUGAUUGUCCAGAGCAUGAGCUGAAGGCUGUCAUGAGUGAAGAUUUAUGGUUGAUCAAUGAUUACUGUGUGUUAAAAUCAAAUGUUUUUCCAUUCAGAGAUCUGGUAAUCGAAAUGUUUCGACAAAAAGGACUCGAUGCCAGCCUGAAGAAGGCAGAGUUAGGUGAAGCUGAAAAAUGGAUUUCUAGGACUGAAUAUUACAAGGUAAGUUCUCUUCUAAUUUUAACAACUAAAUUUGUUAUUUUAUUAUUAUAAAGAAACCAUUAGCAGAGUUGGGACACCCACAACCAAGGCUAUCUGAAUGUUCCUUAUUAUAAGCAAUCAUCUUAUACAGCUGAGCUGAGAGUAAGUGUCCAAUAUGUUAUAACUUAUAAACUAGAAUAAUACAUUAAAUAACUAAACAAUCUAGAGUCCAAACUCUUUUAUCAUCAAUGCUCCUAUGUCUGUCUUCAUUCUUUUUGGGGACAAGCAAGAUUUCACUUGAUGGUAAACAUCCUUUAAUUGAAGUACUUUCUUUUAUCUGGGCUACGCUCACAUGUUGAUUUCAUAAGACGACGUUGUAAGCAAAUCCAGUUGCAAUUAUGCAAUCUUUCGUGUGUUGUACACUUGUACUGGGUUUUUCAGUGCUUCUAAAUUUAUGAUAAUGGAUUUAUUACUUAAUAAUACAUUGCAGAUUUUCUGUUUGAGAUGUUGAGCUUUUUGUUUCUGGAGAUGUAAUUUAUUAUUUGAGCUCUUGGUAGUUUUAAACUACGCUCUGACUUCUCAUUGGAUGUUUUGUUUAUCAAAUUCUUCAUUAAGUUAAUAUAAAGUCAUACUUGUGUGCUGAGCAUCUGGUCAAUCAAUUCUUAGCACAGCCUGUUAAUCAAGUUUCCUUUUCAACUCCUAUGUGCUUGAUUAUCAGGUUAUAGGGCUAUUGAUCCAACAUUAAUAGUAAAAAAUGCUACUGACAUGUAUAAAGCCUGCAUUUUUAUUAUACUAGAUAUGCAUGCAUCCUAAGAAAAAAAGUGAGAUAUGCUUCUAUAGUUCGCUUUUGCUGGUAGUGAAUACUAGGAUUAGAGAGUGGAUGAUUUUUUUUAUUGUUAUUUACUUCUUCGGCAACAAGCUACAAGGCUUUCUGCACUAGUUGCUGCACGGGCAUGGCUUUGAUCAAUUGCUGAUAUAAAAAGUAGAGUAAUGCACGAGUUAUGUGUCUUUAAAGGUAAAAGUUCUGGGUGGGUCUUGAAAUCUCCCCUGCCGAUGCUCUAAUCCUUGAUUACAGUCAUUUUGAAUUGUUAGAUAACUAUUGUUUGUACUCGCCUGCGUUGGAUUUGGCUCGUGUUUGAGAAACAAAUCAAUACUCUGCUUUGGGAAAUAUUUCAUAUAUUCCACACAAUCUUGAUAUUUCAUUUCUUA